Molecule: ribosomal RNA, 601 nt
Filed under: uncultured bacterium
Lineage: Bacteria
Description: bacterial SSU rRNA
Rfam family: Bacterial small subunit ribosomal RNA
Source: RNAcentral
UUUAACUGACGCUCAGGCACGAAAGCAUGGGUAGCAAACAGGAUUAGAUACCCUGGUAGUCCAUGCCGUAAACGAUGGUUACUAGGUGUGGGGGGACUGACCCCCUCCGUGCCGCAGUUAACACAAUAAGUAAUCCACCUGGGGAGUACGGCCGCAAGGUUGAAACUCAAAGGAAUUGACGGGGGCCCGCACAAGCAGUGGAGUAUGUGGUUUAAUUCGAAGCAACGCGAAGAACCUUACCGGGGCUUGACAUCCUAGGAACUUGCCAGAGAUGGCUUGUUGCCCUUCGGGGAACCUAGAGACAGGUGGUGCAUGGUUGUCGUCAGCUCGUGUCGUGAGAUGUUGGGUUAAGUCCCGCAACGAGCGCAACCCUUGCUUUUAGUUGCUACGCAAGAGCACUCUAAAAGGACUGCCGUUGACAAAACGGAGGAAGGUGGGGACGACGUCAAAUCAUCAUGCCCCUUAUGUCCCGGGCUACACACGUACUACAAUGGCCGUUAACAGAGGGAAGCAAAGCCGCGAGGCGGAGCAAACCCCUAAAAACGGUCCCAGUUCAGAUUGUAGGCUGCAACUCGCCUAUAUGAAGUUGGGAUGAUAGUAA